RNAcentral lists this ribosomal RNA (426 nucleotides) under uncultured bacterium. Its description in RNAcentral is "bacterial SSU rRNA". It matches the Rfam family "Bacterial small subunit ribosomal RNA", at positions 354 to 796 of the family's 1533-position model. The record is from RNAcentral.
GUGAGGAAUUUUCCGCAAUGGGAGAAAGCCUGACGGAGCAAUGCCGCGUGAAGGAUGAAGGCCUAUGGGUUGUAAACUUCUUUUCUCAGAAAAGAAUUAUGACGGUAUCUGAGGAAUAAGCAUCGGCUAACUCUGUGCCAGCAGCCGCGGUAAGACAGAGGAUGCAAGCGUUAUCCGGUAUGAUUGGGCGUAAAGCGUCUGUAGGUUGUUUAAAAAGUAUUCUGUCAAAGAUUAGGGCUUAACCCUAGAUAGGCAGAAUAAACUUUUAAGGUAGAGUUUGGUAGAGGCAGAGGGAAGACCCGGGGGAGCGGUGAAAUGCGUAGAUAUCGGGAGGAACACCAAAGGCGGAGGCACUCUGCUGGGCCAAUACUAACACUGAGAGACGAAAGCGAGGGGAGCAAAUGGGAUUAGAAACCCCUGUAGUCC